AGAAGCUCUGCGACUCUCGCCCGUCCCAGAAACGGCUGGCACUCUGUAUUCCACACGGUCACCCGUGCAGCCUGCCCUCCGCGGAGUCCCGGAGCCAAGAAGGCUCCCGCCGGCGCCUGUGCCACAAACCUCUCAGGCCUGGCAGACCCCCGUGCUCUCACCAGGAAGGUGGCCGGCUAUCUGGAGCUGAAGAUGGCGCCGCCCAGAAGCUCUGCGACUCUCGCCCGUCCCAGAAAUGGCUGGCACUCUGUAUUCCACACGGUCACCCGUGCAGCCUGCCCUCCGCGGAGUCCCGGAGCCAAGAAGGCUCCCGCCGGCGCCUGUGCCACAAACCUCUCAGGCCAGGCAGACCCCCGUGCUCUCACCAGGAAGGUGGCCGGCUGUCUGGAGCUGAAGAUGGCGCCGCCCAGAAGCUAGGGAUGGUUUCUUACCCAUUAUUCUCCAUUAAGAUCCUGGCCUAGGCUACCAGGAACAUGUAAAUAAGAAAAGGAGUAUGAGAAAACAAAACAGAUAGAUUGCCAUGAGAACUACAGCUCAAUAUUUUUUUCCUCUGGCAAAGAGUUCCACAACCAGUUCCAGGAGGCCUCCCCCUUUUGAGGUCAGUCGCUUCAGUCUGUGGAACUUGUCACAUAGAUCCUACUGGAGGUGGUGUGGCACAAAACACCAUCCUUUUUAUAUUGGACAUUUAGAGCUCAUUCUGAUCUUCCCGGACCUUUGGCUGCAGGCAAUGAUUGUAUUGACAGAGAGAGCUUCAAUAGGAGAAGCUUUAGUUUCAGAUCCUAUUGUUUUGGCUAAAUGUGAUCAUAAUAAAUUUCAUCUUUCUAGUCCUACCUUAAGGCUCUGACAUAAGAUCGCUAAGGAGCAAGCUAGAAUGAUUAUAAAACUAUGUCCUGACUAUCUUCCAUUGUCUCAAGUUUCUCAUUUAGGGGUUAAUCCACAAGGCCUUAUGCCCAAUCAUAUUUGGCAACUGGAUGUAACUCGUUAUUCAGAAUUUGGAAAAUUGAAAUAUAUACAUGUCUGUAUUGACACUUGUUCAGGAUUCAUUUUUGCUUCUCUACACACAGGAAAAGCUUCUAGAAAUGUAAUUGAUAUUGCUUACAGGCUUUUACUGCUAUGAGGUUGCCUAAAAUCAUCAAGACAGAUAAUGGCCCUGCUUAUACUGGAAACAACUUUAUACAAUUUUGUAAGGAAUUUGGAAUUAAACAUAAAACUGGAAUUCCUUAUAACCUAUGGGACAAGGAAUUGUUGAACGUGCGCGUUGUACUCUGAAAAAUUGGCUUUGGAAAAAAAAGGGGAAUCAUAUCCCUGUACACCACAAAAAUAUUAAAAUUUCUAUACCAAGGAACUCUCUGAGUGUGGGGAAGAAGGCAUGUUUGUGUUUUUUCUGCAGGAUGCUGAAGGAGCAUUCUAGUUGCCAGAGUGGUUAGUGAGACAUGCUGAUGCUGGGACAAAGAAUGAUACUGAUUGUGAGUUUGUAGAGUGUCCUGACAAUGAUGAUAGAGAAGCUGUAUUGGGCCUAUGUCCCUGAUCCAUCCUUUUUUACAUCCAACAGUAUGAGAAGGCCUAGACGUUGUGGUAAUGGUAAUCAACAGUAAGUCGAUGGAUAUGCCUGCUGGAGGAAAUUUCACUAACAAUAGAGAAAUUAAUUACCUGAGAUUUAGAACUAAUGUCUCCAUAUGCUUUUGUGGGAGGUGCAGCUACAAGCACUUCUGCCCUAGUUUUGCCAGGAAAAAAAUUAUGAGCUUCUUAGAGCAGUAAUAGAUACAGAUAAAGAAAAAUAGAAACUUCUAUUUCUUAUUUGCAAGAGCCUCUAACUUCCUUGUCUGAGGUAGUUUUUCAGAACAGGAGGGAACUUGAUCUUUUAUUCCUUCAACAGGGAGGACUCUGUGCAGCCCUCCAGGAAGACUGUUGUUACAUCAAUCAUUCAAAAGUAGUAAAGGAUUCUAUGGCUAAAUUUUGAGAAGGACUGGCAAAAAAGAAAAGAGAAAGAGAAAAUCAGGGAUGGUUUGAAUCCUGGUUUUCCACUUCUCCGUGGCUUAAAACUUUAAUUUCUACUUGCUUGGACCAUUAAUUGUAAUUUUGUUGCUUUUAAUUUUUGGACCUUGUAUAUUACAUGACACAGGGUUCAUCCUGGCCCAGCAGCUGAAUUUAUGUUUGGUGCUCUCUUGUUCAAGUUCAAACAACACUCCAUGCCGAGGUACAGAAUAAAGAAAAGGAGCAAAGU
RNAcentral lists this long non-coding RNA (2224 nucleotides) under Mus musculus (house mouse). RNAcentral's name for it is "predicted gene, 68671". The record is from RNAcentral. Lineage: Eukaryota; Metazoa; Chordata; Mammalia; Rodentia; Muridae.